GGGAGGGUCGUUUUUGUUACGAACUUCGAGCCGUUUCAUGACAUGUGGAGGCUCGUCCGGGAUCUUGAAGGUAUUGUGUUUGGGAGGAAACGUGGAGUUAAUGUUAAACUCUGUUGGUGCUUUGUUUGCAACUUUUGUUACAGCUUUUUUGAGUUGUAAUGUUUUGGUGCCCAGUGUUGGCUGCCUUUAUUUGUUUGGAAAACUUGCCACUGCAGUGGAUAGUUGGUUGUGUGCUGCGUUGGAGAGAGUACAUUGGUUAGUUUCCAGGCCCCUGCCCAGGUUGAAGACUCUUGCUCUGCUUGCUGUUGGGACAUCGGUCCGAGGAGGUUACUUCCUGUGCGCUAAGGUUGCUAAGGUCUGGGGAGGACGAGGUUGGCUGGGGCAAGUGGAAGUGUGAACACGUAGCCCCUUAUGAAUUUGGAUGUCGGUGGGUGGAGCUGGGAGGGUCGUCAGCGACAUGGGACACCUGUGUGUCCCGGGAUAAAUAUACAUCUUUCCCCAUUCAUUGAAGAGACUCUCUCCAUGCAGACACACUUAUAGAUUUUGGUUGUGGCAUUUUUGUGGCCGUUUGUUUGCUUUGGCACCUUUCUACACCCCUCAUUAUCACAUUUAUGCACGCAACCACUCACUUACACUACUGAUUACUGACUACACACACCAUUGUUAAUUGUAUUUACUUCAGUUAAUAAAUAUAUUUUGUUAUUCCUUAUCUCCACGUUGUCUCCUUUUUGUUAUGAACUUCGAGCCGGUUCAUGACAACAGCAUAUGACAGACAGUUUGUGGUCGGAGCACGUCUCUGGAGCCGCUGACCCCAAUAUGGUGUAAUUGCAGAUGCAAUUCAGGGCUUUUCUUGAUGUGGUCGUUCCUUGAUAUCAGGUAAUGCCCAUUGGUGUUACCUACCCCGCCCCCUCUUGUUUUUACACUGCUGCUACUCGCUGUUUAUUAUCUAUGCACAGUCACUUUACCCCUUCCUACAUGU
This is a non-coding RNA of Salmo salar (Atlantic salmon), 979 nucleotides long. The record is from RefSeq and is a predicted model, not a curated record. Lineage: Eukaryota; Metazoa; Chordata; Actinopteri; Salmoniformes; Salmonidae.